Molecule: non-coding RNA, 46 nt
Organism: Aedes albopictus (Asian tiger mosquito)
Lineage: Eukaryota; Metazoa; Arthropoda; Insecta; Diptera; Culicidae
Source: Rfam
CAAACGGCCCUUUUCAGGGCCACCAACAAAUAUCUCCGCAAGAGUU